GAUGAACGCUGGCGGCGUGCCUAAUACAUGCAAGUCGAGCGAACAGAUGAGGAGCUUGCUCCUCUGACGUUAGCGGCGGACGGGUGAGUAACACGUGGAUAACCUACCUAUAAGACUGGGAUAACUUCGGGAAACCGGAGCUAAUACCGGAUAAUAUAUUGAACCGCAUGGUUCAAUAGUGAAAGACGGUUUUGCUGUCACUUAUAGAUGGAUCCGCGCCGCAUUAGCUAGUUGGUAAGGUAACGGCUUACCAAGGCAACGAUGCGUAGCCGACCUGAGAGGGUGAGCGGCCACACUGGAACUGAGACACGGUCCAGACUCCUACGGGAGGCAGCAGUAGGGAAUCUUCCGCAAUGGGCGAAAGCCUGACUGAGCAACGCCGCGUGAGUGAUGAAGGUCUUCGGAUCGUAAAACUCUGUUAUUAGGGAAGAACAAAUGUGUAAGUAACUAUGCACGUCUUGACGGUACCUAAUCAGAAAGCCACGGCUAACUACGUG
This 497-nucleotide ribosomal RNA is filed under the name uncultured bacterium. Its description in RNAcentral is "partial 16S ribosomal RNA". It matches the Rfam family "Bacterial small subunit ribosomal RNA", at positions 28 to 507 of the family's 1533-position model. The record is from RNAcentral.